This is a long non-coding RNA of Rhinopithecus roxellana (golden snub-nosed monkey), 330 nucleotides long. RefSeq lists it as uncharacterized. Lineage: Eukaryota; Metazoa; Chordata; Mammalia; Primates; Cercopithecidae. The transcript has 3 exons. The record is from RefSeq and is a predicted model, not a curated record.
GAGAAGUACAGACCUGAGUAUAAUGGAGACCUCUAGCCUCUAAUCAUGGGCACUGAAAGGGAUUGCAGACUUGAAGGGGUUGACCAACUACCUGCAAGUCAUGGGCAUUCAAUUUUGUGUAAGAGACAGCCAGUUCACCCAAAGAUGCAGGCAGGGGGAGAAGGAUGGCCGUGUUCACCAAACCAUAAUGGAAGAUGAUGAUGAAACCAUACUGUCGAAACAAAUGGAGCGGGAGAAAAUGCCUCCUCCCCACAAACCAAAGGAAACAUUUGUGAGUGAAAGGUGUUGCUAUUAAUCCUUACUCAAGAACAACCACCAUAAACCAAGAAU